AUGUUUCCAGGACUUUGGGGACCUAGCGAACGAUCUGUUCGACGUUUCUGUACAGACAGAGGCAUAAGUCGACGUUGUUCUCUGACUAAAGAGGAACUAGAACGCUGCGUGUCUGACGCCGUAAGCGAGGUCGGACCAUCUUGCAUCUUCAGAUCGUCAAAAAGCAAGAAGAUGGCAACGGCUACACAAUAAACUGCAGAGAAGAUCUUCAGCUUUAGAGAUGUCCACAACUUUGAACGACGAACAAAAGAAGACGUACGCUA
Molecule: long non-coding RNA, 263 nt
Organism: Corticium candelabrum
Lineage: Eukaryota; Metazoa; Porifera; Homoscleromorpha; Homosclerophorida; Plakinidae
Exons: 3
Source: RefSeq, a predicted model, not a curated record